RNAcentral lists this ribosomal RNA (931 nucleotides) under Neosetophoma sp. Its description in RNAcentral is "partial large subunit ribosomal RNA". It matches the Rfam family "Eukaryotic large subunit ribosomal RNA", at positions 282 to 1361 of the family's 3401-position model. Lineage: Eukaryota; Fungi; Ascomycota; Dothideomycetes; Pleosporales; Phaeosphaeriaceae. The record is from RNAcentral.
GCAGCUCUAAAUGGGAGGUAAAUUUCUUCUAAAGCUAAAUACUGGCCAGAGACCGAUAGCGCACAAGUAGAGUGAUCGAAAGAUGAAAAGCACUUUGGAAAGAGAGUCAAAUAGCACGUGAAAUUGUUGAAAGGGAAGCGCUUGCAGCCAGACUUGCCUGUAGUUGCUUAUCCGGACUUUUGUCCGGUGCACUCUUCUGCGGGCAGGCCAGCAUCAGUCUAGGCGGUUGGAUAAAGGUCUCUGUCAUGUACCUCUCUUCGGGGAGGCCUUAUAGGGGAGACGACAUGCAACCAGCCUGGACUGAGGUCCGCGCAUCUGCUAGGAUGCUGGCGUAAUGGCUGUAAGCGGCCCGUCUUGAAACACGGACCAAGGAGUCUAACAUCUAUGCGAGUGUUUGGGUGUCAAGCCCAGACGCGUAAUGAAAGUGAACGGAGGUGGGAACCCUUUGGGUGCACCAUCGACCGAUCCUGAUGUCUUCGGAUGGAUUUGAGUAAGAGCAUGGCUGUUGGGACCCGAAAGAUGGUGAACUAUGCUUGAAUAGGGUGAAGCCAGAGGAAACUCUGGUGGAGGCUCGCAGCGGUUCUGACGUGCAAAUCGAUCGUCAAAUUUGGGCAUAGGGGCGAAAGACUAAUCGAACUAUCUAGUAGCUGGUUCCUGCCGAAGUUUCCCUCAGGAUAGCAGUAACGUAUUCAGUUUUAUGAGGUAAAGCGAAUGAUUAGAGGCCUGGGGGUUGAAACAACCUUCACCUAUUCUCAAACUUUAAAUAUGUAAGAAGUCCUUGUUACUUGAUUGAACGUGGACACUUGAAUGUACCGUUACUAGUGGGCCAUUUUUGGUAAGCACUGGCGAUCUGUCAUGUACCUCUCUUCGGGGAGGCCUUAUAGGGGAGACGACAUGCAACCAGCCUGGACUGAGGUCCGCGCAUCUGCUA